RNAcentral lists this ribosomal RNA (731 nucleotides) under uncultured bacterium. RNAcentral's name for it is "bacterial SSU rRNA". It matches the Rfam family "Bacterial small subunit ribosomal RNA", at positions 93 to 839 of the family's 1533-position model. The record is from RNAcentral.
UAGCGGCGGACGGGUGAGUAACGUGUGGGCAACCUGCCUCAUACAGAGGGAUAAUCAUGUGAAAACGUGACUAAUACCGCAUGUCGUUUCGGGAGGGCAUCCUNCUGAAAGAAAAGGAGCAAUCCGGUAUGAGAUGGGCCCGCAUCUGAUUAGCUAGUUGGUGAGAUAACAGCCCACCAAGGCGACGAUCAGUAGCCGACCUGAGAGGGUGAUCGGCCACAUUGGGACUGAGACACGGCCCAAACUCCUACGGGAGGCAGCAGUGGGGAAUAUUGCACAAUGGGGGAAACCCUGAUGCAGCAACGCCGCGUGAAGGAAGACGGUUUUCGGAUUGUAAACUUCUAUCAAUAGGGACGAAGAAAGUGACUGUACCUAAAUAAGAAGCCCCGGCUAACUACGUGCCAGCAGCCGCGGUAAUACGUAGGGGGCAAGCGUUAUCCGGAAUUACUGGGUGUAAAGGGUGAGUAGGCGGCAUGGCAAGUAAGAUGUGAAAGCCCGAGGCUUAACCUCGGGAUUGCAUUUUAAACUGCUAAGCUAGAGUACAGGAGAGGAAAGCGGAAUUCCUAGUGUAGCGGUGAAAUGCGUAGAUAUUAGGAAGAACACCAGUGGCGAAGGCGGCUUUCUGGACUGGAAACUGACGCUGAGGCACGAAAGCGUGGGGAGCGAACAGGAUUAGAUACCCUGGUAGUCCACGCCGUAAACGAUGAGUGCUAGGUGUCGGAGGGGAACCU